Molecule: long non-coding RNA, 354 nt
Filed under: Mustela putorius furo (domestic ferret)
Lineage: Eukaryota; Metazoa; Chordata; Mammalia; Carnivora; Mustelidae
Description: lncRNA (ENSMPUG00000025142.1)
Source: RNAcentral
GGAAUGUUCUGACUAUAGCUGUUAAAUCUGUCUAGUCUAGGGUGUCAUUCAAAGCCAUUGUUUCUUUGUCGAUUUUCUCUUUAGAUGAUCUGCUCAUUGAGUGUCUCCCCGCCUGGUCUCCCUGGGGAGACUUCCAGUUGCCGUUACUUCAAGCUGACCGAUGAUCCUUUCUACUUGAGAUUUGCAUGGGUUUGUCUACCUUGGAUUCGGCUGCCUCUGCCUUUGGCCUGGCAUGGAGCCCAACUCAGCACCUUGAGAUCAAGACCUGGGCUGAGAUCAAGAGUCGAAUGCUUAACCAACUGGUCCACUCUUUUCUCAAGUCUAAAUCCAUUCAAUACUGCCCAAAAUACGUAA